Long non-coding RNA from Stegastes partitus (bicolor damselfish), 312 nucleotides. RefSeq lists it as uncharacterized. NCBI's taxonomy places the organism in Eukaryota, Metazoa, Chordata, Actinopteri, Pomacentridae. The record is from RefSeq and is a predicted model, not a curated record. The transcript is spliced from 3 exons.
UGCAAAUGAGGAAGUUGUGUUGCUUCAUAAACCUGCUGUUAUACUUUAGCGCUCUGGUCAGAAAUCCGAUUGUCUGGAUAUUAUUUCACCUCAUCAAGCAGACGACGAUUCUCAGGGAAGAAGUGUUUCCUGCUUCGUUGCCCUGACAACAGUGACGUCACAGCGCUGCCUGUUCUCUAAGUCAGCUUCACUUCUGCUGUUGACGUGCAGCAACUUCUUUUCUCCAUCUGAAGGUGUUUCAGAGUGACGGCAGCCUGCAGACACAGAGGACCUUGGACGGAGAAGCAGAUUUUCUAUGUUUCUGCACAAACC